GUGCAAACUCGAUCAUUAACUCUGCACGGUAUUGUAGAAGUGAGAAGAACCAGGUUUGCUAAAGUGAUUGUGGUGACAGGAAUGUAUCAGCCUCAGCAUCUGCAGUGUUUGCUUUGUUUUCUCAGCACCUAU
Molecule: non-coding RNA, 132 nt
Organism: Erinaceus europaeus (western European hedgehog)
Lineage: Eukaryota; Metazoa; Chordata; Mammalia; Eulipotyphla; Erinaceidae
Source: Rfam